RNAcentral lists this ribosomal RNA (397 nucleotides) under uncultured bacterium. RNAcentral's name for it is "partial 16S ribosomal RNA". It matches the Rfam family "Bacterial small subunit ribosomal RNA", at positions 523 to 918 of the family's 1533-position model. The record is from RNAcentral.
AUACGUAGGUGGCAAGCGUUGUCCGGAUUUAUUGGGCGUAAAGCGAGCGCAGGCGGUUUCUUAAGUCUGAUGUGAAAGCCCCCGGCUCAACCGGGGAGGGUCAUUGGAAACUGGGCGACUUGAGUGCAGAAGAGGAGCGUGGAAUUCCAUGUGUAGCGGUGAAAUGCGUAGAUAUAUGGAGGAACACCAGUGGCGAAGGCGACUCUCUGGUCUGUAACUGACGCUGAGGCUCGAAAGCGUGGGGAGCAAACAGGAUUAGAUACCCUGGUAGUCCACGCCGUAAACGAUGAGUGCUAAGUGUUGGAGGGUUUCCGCCCUUCAGUGCUGCAGCUAACGCAUUAAGCACUCCGCCUGGGGAGUACGACCGCAAGGUUGAAACUCAAAGGAAUUGACGGGG